CAAGGGCUCGCGGGGGCUUGUGGGAAAGCGCAGGAAGGCGGCGGCCGGCGUGAGUCGCUGCGGGUCUGGCGCGUCGGCUGUGCAGGCACUAACGGCCUGCCCGGUCAGAGGUGGUUCAAAACUCUGCAGUCAUAAUGACUUCGACAAAUAAAGCAGUUGAAUUACAACUACAAGUGAAACAAAAUGCAGAAGAAUUACAAGACUUUAUGAGGGAUUUAGAAAACUGGGAAAAAGACAUUAAACAAAAGGAUAUGGAACUAAGAAGACAGAAUGGUGUUCCUGUAGAGAAUUUACCUCCUAUUCGAAAA
Microcebus murinus (gray mouse lemur) is the source of this 308-nucleotide non-coding RNA. The record is from RefSeq and is a predicted model, not a curated record. Lineage: Eukaryota; Metazoa; Chordata; Mammalia; Primates; Cheirogaleidae.